GAUGAACGCUGGCGGCGGGCCUAAUACAUGCAAGUCGAGCGAACGGACGAGAAGCUUGCUUUUCUGAUGUUAGCGGCGGACGGGUGAGUAACACGUGGAUAACCUACCUAUAAGACUGGGAGAACUUCGGGAAACCGGAGCUAAUACCGGAUAAUAUUUUGAACCGCAUGGUUCAAAAGUGAAAGGCGGUCUUGCUGUCACUUAUAGAUGGAUCCGCGCUGCAUUAGCUAGUUGGUAAGGUAACGGCUUACCAAGGCAACGAUGCAUAGCCGACCUGAGAGGGUGAUCGGCCACACUGGAACUGAGACACGGUCCAGACUCCUACGGGAGGCAGCAGUAGGGAAUCUUCCGCAAUGGGCGAAAGCCUGACGGAGCAACGCCGCGUGAGUGAUGAAGGUCUUCGGAUCGUAAAACUCUGUUAUUAGGGAAGAACAUAUGUGUAAGUAACUGUGCACAUCUUGACGGUACCUAAUCAGAAAGCCACGGCUAACUACGUG
Molecule: ribosomal RNA, 497 nt
Filed under: uncultured bacterium
Lineage: Bacteria
Description: partial 16S ribosomal RNA
Rfam family: Bacterial small subunit ribosomal RNA
Source: RNAcentral